CAGGUCUCUACUCCGUCC
Molecule: microRNA, 18 nt
Filed under: Gallus gallus (chicken)
Lineage: Eukaryota; Metazoa; Chordata; Aves; Galliformes; Phasianidae
Description: microRNA Ros-gga
Source: RNAcentral